Molecule: ribosomal RNA, 769 nt
Filed under: uncultured bacterium
Lineage: Bacteria
Description: bacterial SSU rRNA
Rfam family: Bacterial small subunit ribosomal RNA
Source: RNAcentral
AUUGAACGCUGGCGGCAUGCCUUACACAUGCAAGUCGAACGGCAGCACGGGGGCAACCCUGGUGGCGAGUGGCGAACGGGUGAGUAAUGCAUCGGAACGUGUCCUCUUGUGGGGGAUAACCAGUCGAAAGAUUGGCUAAUACCGCAUGAGAUCGAAAGAUGAAAGCGGGGGACCGCAAGGCCUCGCGCGAGAGGAGCGGCCGAUGCCGGAUUAGCUAGUUGGUGGGGUAAUGGCCCACCAAGGCGACGAUCCGUAGCUGGUCUGAGAGGACGACCAGCCACACUGGGACUGAGACACGGCCCCAGACUCCUACGGGAGGCAGCAGUGGGGAAUUUUGGACAAUGGGCGCAAGCCUGAUCCAGCCAUGCCGCGUGUGUGAAGAAGGCCUCGGGUUGUAAAGCACUUUCGGACGGAACGAAAUCGCGCGCAUGAACAAUGCGCGUGGAUGACGGUACCGUAAGAAGAAGCACCGGCUAACUACGUGCCAGCAGCCGCGGUAAUACGUAGGGUGCAAGCGUUAAUCGGAAUUACUGGGCGUAAAGGGUGCGCAGGCGGCCUCGCAUGUCAGACGUGAAAUCCCCGGGCUCAACCUGGGAAUGGCGCUUGAAACUACGGGGCUGGAGUGUGGCAGAGGGAGGUGGAAUUCCACGUGUAGCGGUGAAAUGCGUAGAGAUGUGGAGGAACACCGAUGGCGAAGGCAGCCUCCUGGGCCAACACUGACGCUCAUGCACGAAAGCGUGGGGAGCAAACAGGAUUAGAUACCCUGGUA